AGCUGAGGAAAAGAAACUAACAAGGAUUCCCCUAGUAACGGCGAGUGAACCGGGAAGAGCUCAAAUUUGAAAUCUGGCGUGCUCAGUGCGUCCGAGUUGUAAUCUAUAGAGUCGUUUUCCGUGCCGGACUGUGUCCAAGUCCCUUGGAACAGGGUAUCAAAGAGGGUGAUAAUCCCGUACUUGACACAAUGACCGGUGCUCUGUGAUACGUCUUCUACGAGUCGAGUUGUUUGGGAAUGCAGCUCAAAAUGGGUGGUGAGUUCCAUCUAAAGCUAAAUAUUGGCGAGAGACCGAUAGCGAACAAGUACCGUGAGGGAAAGAUGAAAAGCACUUUGGAAAGAGAGUUAAACAGUACGUGAAAUUGUUAAAAGGGAAACGAUUGAAGUCAGUCGUGACUGAGAGGCUCAGCCGGUUCUGCCGGUGUAUUCCCCUCAGUCGGGUCAACAUCAGUUUUGUUCGGUGGAUAAGGGCAGUUGGAAGGUGGCACCCUCGGGUGUGUUAUAGCCAGCUGUCGCAUACAUCGGAUGAGACUGAGGAAUGCAGCUCGCCUUUAUGGCCGGGGUUCGCCCACGUUCGAGCUUAGGAUGUUGACAUAAUGGCUUUAAACGACCCGUCU
RNAcentral lists this ribosomal RNA (616 nucleotides) under Papiliotrema flavescens. RNAcentral describes it as "eukaryotic LSU rRNA". It matches the Rfam family "Eukaryotic large subunit ribosomal RNA", at positions 49 to 654 of the family's 3401-position model. The record is from RNAcentral. Lineage: Eukaryota; Fungi; Basidiomycota; Tremellomycetes; Tremellales; Rhynchogastremaceae.